This 334-nucleotide unclassified non-coding RNA is filed under the name soil metagenome. Its description in RNAcentral is "partial contains 5.8S ribosomal RNA, internal transcribed spacer 2, and large subunit ribosomal RNA". The stretch from base 1 to 120 matches the Rfam family "5.8S ribosomal RNA", at positions 35 to 154 of the family's 154-position model. The record is from RNAcentral.
GAUGAAGAACGUAGCGAAAUGCGAUACGUAAUGUGAAUUGCAAAAUUCAGUGAAUCAUCGAAUCUUUGAACGCACAUUGCGCCCGCCAGCACUCUGGCGGGCAUGCCUGUUCGAGCGUCAUUUCAACCAUCAAGCCCCAGGCUUGCGUUGGAGCCCUGCGGCUGCCGCAGCCUCCUAAAAGCAGUGGCGGGCUCGCUAUCACACCGAGUGCAGUAGAUUACUCUUCGCUCAGGGCGUGCAGCGGGUUCCGGCCGUGAAACCCCCUACUUUUAAAGGUUGACCUCGGAUCAGGUAGGAAUACCCGCUGAACUUAAGCAUAUCAAUAAGCGGAGGA